Long non-coding RNA from Hyla sarda, 502 nucleotides. RefSeq lists it as uncharacterized. The record is from RefSeq and is a predicted model, not a curated record. Lineage: Eukaryota; Metazoa; Chordata; Amphibia; Anura; Hylidae. The transcript is spliced from 4 exons.
CUAGUACAGAGACUACAAGUCCUAUCAGUGGCGGAACUGCAAAAGGAGCAAUUACCGCAAGCAUAGUCACACAUGGUGUGGUUUAAGAUAACAUUCAUCGGGGUGUUUUUAAAUGAAAAGAGAAAGUGUUACUCUUGGUUUUUAUUUCAAGUAAAAUGGGACAUCCCUGCGCAUGAAGGUCCCUGUGCGUUGUUGUCAAGGCAACGUCACUAGUCCGGGGCCGGUGAUGGGCGGAGCGGAGAAGAGGUCCUCAUGGUGAAAAUGGACAGCCAAGAACGACUAACCCUCCCCACUGGACGGUCCCUGCAGCAUAGAUGGCCUGGACCAGCUCACCAUAACUUCCCGCCGAGGGGAGCUGCUGUUUGUAUGUAACCACAUGAUAUUUUCUGAAGAGUCAGAUUCUGUUUGGAUAGGACCAGGGUUCAACAGCCAAGAUCUCCAGUGCCCUGAAUCUGUUUGGCCAGAAUUGGUCUUUAAUGAAGAAAAAAAAAACAACAACAAA